AACUUUUAGCUCAAAUUUUUUAAAAGUGUGUGUUAUUAGGUUAAAAAGCUAUGUAUCAAAAUUUUAUGGUAUUUAAGCACUUACUUUGUGAGAUAUGAAGAAAGUUGUAUACAAAUAUAUGUAAGUAAGGAUUUGAAGCUAAUGUUAGGAUUUUGGCAAUAUCUCAAGAUCUGUAAUGAAUUUGCAGUUAAAAUUUUAAAAUUAUAUGAGUUCUUCAUGUAAAAUUUUGGUUUGCUUAGACAGCCGACUUGAGAAAUAUGAGUUAUUGAAGUUUAGAAAAAAUUCAUCUUAAGGAUAUACAAGGCUUUAUAAUAUUUUUA
This 320-nucleotide long non-coding RNA is filed under the name Physcomitrium patens. Its description in RNAcentral is "long non-coding RNA (PPAT_LNC005186)". The record is from RNAcentral. Lineage: Eukaryota; Viridiplantae; Streptophyta; Bryopsida; Funariales; Funariaceae.